Long non-coding RNA from Gasterosteus aculeatus aculeatus (three-spined stickleback), 1119 nucleotides. NCBI's taxonomy places the organism in Eukaryota, Metazoa, Chordata, Actinopteri, Perciformes, Gasterosteidae. The record is from Ensembl.
UGUUGUGGAAUAUUUCAAUAAAAGCUCGGUAGAAGAGAAUGAUUUGUCUGAUAAAACAGAGUCUUGAUGAAUGAUCAAAGUUGCAAAAAGUCCAUUUAUUGCUAAGGACAUUCUCCGUGCCAGCUACGAGAAUCUGCAAAGCAGGUUGAGAUAAGAACCCAGGUGAAGCUGAGGGCAGCACACACACACACACACACAAGAUCCUCCUCAGUGGCCGGUGCAAAUCAUUAUUAAUUGACAUAAAGUAAAACGUGUAUCCGGAACUAUCGUACCGAAUAAGAUAUGAACCAAGGCCAUGAAGAGGAGUCCUUUGUUUUGAAGCUUCUAUGAGAUCGAGCCGACCGUCCUCCCUUCUCAGGGCACAGCUGCAAAGCAACAUUUUGUAUCAUGCUGCUUUUUGCACAUCAGGGUCAAAUACAGACACUUGAGACACGGCUUUAGCACCAAACAAUGUUAUAACAUAUUUUACCAUCACAUUCCACUCUUGAUUAUUCUUUAAUCACACAUAAUAUUGCAAAAAAAUAUGUUUUUAAACAUAAGAAAAUAAAAAUGUGGGAACGAGUUCCCUCUGGCCUCGUGAGAAAGUUCCAUGGGCGUUGUCGCGCCAUGAUAAGAGAAAAACACUCAGGUAGCGGACUACAGAAUCACAGAAAUAUAGAUAGAUAAUGAAACUGAAGCAAGCAAUAAUAUGAAUAAAACCGUAGUGACACAAACGACUACUGUGUCUAUGUGAAGGGGUCCUGGCCGUGUUCUUCUUGUGUUGGUCCGCAGGUACACGUUGGGAUGUGGAGUCUGCCAACCUUCUUUCUUGUGAGGCAUCCGCGUUGUAGACAGUCAACACAGAUCACAAUGCACUGUGUGUCUGUCGGUCAACUGCCCGUCCGUGGUCACUGCAACGGUGGUGUCGGUUGAUUGACACUUGUUGUGGGGGUAGGGUCGCCUGAGCCCACUGCUGGUACUGUGACUGUUUUACCCGUAGCCAGUUUACAGGCCUCGGUCAGAGCGAUGAGCUCGGCUGCCUGGGCUGAGAGGUGACAUGGCAGAGGACCUGAACACAGCACACCAGAGUCAGAAACAACAGCAAAACCAACACGAUUUUCACCAGACUGAGGAUCGCGG